GGAAAGAAAUAUCUAUCAGGAUCCACGGAAAAAAGGCAGCGGUUCUCCUCCUCCUCUGAUUUUUUCCUCUCCCUAGCCGCCUCCCUCCUCCCCGAUUUGCUCCUCUCCCGAGGCUCUACUCUUCCAGGUCGCAGCACGCCGCCACGGGAGGAGCGUCGGCUCGCGAGUAGCACCAGCGCCGGCGGCUGAUGCAGGAGAGAGAGGAGCAGGUGCACCAUCUCGGCGACCUCCUCCGCGGCGGCGACCGAGGCGCGAGUGCGGGCCGCCGCGGGGGCGGCGCGACGGCAGGCUUGCCCUCGAAGCGCGCGUCGACGUGGCGCGGGAGGGCGUCGGCGGCAGAGAGGCGGAGCACGGGGCGGCCGAGCGGGGCCGCCUCGGAGGGCGUGAAGUGCAGCGGCGCGGCGGCCUUGUAGAGGAGCGCGAUGCGGUGGCGCCACGCCAUGGGGCAGCCGUGGGAGCCGUAGACGCGGACCACGUCGUCGGGGUCAGGGUCGACGGAGACAAUCCCCCUCCUCUCCUCUCUUGAGCCGCCACCGGUGCUCUCCACCGAGACGGCGUCGUGUCAUGCCAUGCCUCCACCAUCUCUCUAGGCAGUUGCCUGGCUGAAGCAGUUUGGCCGGACGGAUGACAAGCAGCAGCGCAAGACGCUGGCCAACAACACAACAGUCAGCCCUCCUCUGCCUAUUCUCUUUGCAAGGAUCUACAGAUCUAUUUUUACUGCUGUAUGGAAAGUGUUUGAUGAAAAUCCUAGAUAAAAUUAAUCUAUGCAAGGAAUCGGUCAUUGGUAACAUCUCAUAGGUCUGGUUACAGUUUUGACUAUGCAUACUAUUAAAUAGUAUGUAUUUGUGGAGUGCAGUCUGUAAAAGGACAAAGUGAGACAUACCGAAACGCAACUUAGAUUCAACCUCCAUCUUUUCUAGAUUUUUAGACUGAACAUUAUCACUAUUAAACUAGAGUAGUUUUCAGAUGCUACAUAUAUAUGGCAGGUCCUGAUGUCAUAUGCUGCAAAGAAUUUAAUUUAUGGAGUGAGUUCUAUGGAUAUUUUUGGCUGAUUGGUCUUCUCCAUUUUUUUAAAGGUGGAUUUGGAUCUUGGAAACUAAACGAUGAAACAAUUUAGCCAAUGCUGCAAUACUCGGAUUUCUAAAUGUCAUGUAGAGGAUGAGUGCCAGUGCUACAAUUAUCCUUGCUGGUUGCUUUGGCAUCCUAUUCAGAUCGACAACAUCCAUUGCUUUGUUGUUGUUUGAUAUUGAACAUUUUGUGUUCUCACGCAGGUGUUGCUGUGCUUGUGGCCGGGUUGCUCUGGUGGUGAUUCCUGAUGUUCGAUACAAAAAAGAAAUCAAGUUUUGCUCUUAGUCCACCGCCAUCCCUUCCCUGACUCUUUUUCCUCAUGACAAAAUUGAUUCAGUUUCUUGCAUAUCUAAAAAUUGUACCUGAAUAUUUCCAGGUUGUGUUUCAGGCAUUGAUUCGUUGCGGAAGAUUUACUUUUACACAUGCUGAUAAUGGUGGCGCUACGAUGAGGAUCCGAGGUUCCACUCUCUCAGUAUGACGUCGAUUUGCCGUUCUCCCAGGUUUCUCUCUCUGAUCAGUGAUUGUCAUUAAUUCAAAUAAGAUCAUCUGUGUGGGGUAUCCUGGAUCAGAGUAGCAGACAUGGAGAUGCCUGCCUGUUCUAUACGUUUGUUUUCAUGCCUUUCUUUGUUUUUUUAGUUUACCUCUAUGUUUUCCUGCUCGCUGAGUCAAGUGGCUCUUUUUUGGUUCGUUAUUCCUGCUUGUUCUUUGCUACACUUGAAUAUUUCAUAUACCUUUCCACUAAUCUCUUGCACUAACCUUCUUUAUUAACUUCAGGCAAGAAAAUGGAUGCAUUUCUUGAACUGGUGAUAAUUACACUUGAAGAAGCAAGGCAUGACAAAGAGUAAUGAAUAUUUCUUCCAAGCAUAACUAUUACCAUGCAUAUGGAUGACCUGCUACAAAUAUUCUCUGUUUGGUGUCAAGACUAAUUCUUUACUAUUUAAUGGCCAUGGCGUUCACAUGGGUACUGUGAUGCUACAUAGAUUACCUCUUAUGUGUUUCUAUCGAACAUUAGACCAACCUUGAUGAAACAUAGUUAUCAUGUUUGAUGGGAAACAUAUAUAAGAAACUAAAAUAGUUUGCUCUCUUAAUCAAUUUCUUGCUUGGGGUUGAAGAGCCUGCAGAUGGCAUAAAACACUAAGAAUUUCGUUGGGAUGGACAUAUUUUGAACCCGCACAUCGUGCAACACUGCAUGGAUCAACUCUUGGAUUAUGCUAUGUAUUACCUCGAGCAUUUUCAGAGGUGACAAAUCUUGCAUGCAACCUUCCUUUUUCUUCUGGUAUGAUCAAAACUAUAUAAAAACCAUGAGUAAUUGACUGAAAUUGUGUGUGUUUCUGAUCAUGCUAGAUAUUUCUUAUGAGAGCUUCAGUAAAAUCCUUCACUUAUUGUAAAUUUGGCAAGAUGCAUUGUUUAUUUACUGAGAAGUUGUCUCUUAUAGAUGAUUAUUCGUAGCUUGCUGGAAUAGACUUCUUCAGGUGACACCAAUGUCAAUUGAUUUAAAUUUUGCUCAUAUUUAUUCUGACACUUCAUCAGUUGUUUGUUCUAAUUCCAUGUCAGAUAUAGCUGAGAAGCUACAUCAGAUGAGUUCUUUACUUCACUAAAGAUAUUGGUUUCUCCCCCUCACUUAAUUUAUCUACCGGAAGCUCUUAUCCACUUCGCUGACGAUACAAGCCACUUGAGGUUUGCAUGGACAGAUGCAUGCUACAAUAUCUUCACUCUAGGUGUGAUUGGAAUACAUGAUCUUUCAGUUUGGUUUCUCUGAAGAACUACAACCUGCCCUUCCUGUUUUAAUUGUCAUGGUGUGUUCUCGGUACAAGCGAUAUAGUUAAAUUUAAGAAAAAUACUAGCUUGCAGCUAAGCUCAUUAUAUUUUUGGUCUAUACAUGUGAUAUAAUUAAAUUUAGUGAAAAAUAUUAGCUUAUGUUGAGGUAUUUCAGUUUUGAUCAUUAUACAGUUCACUGCCUUCUGAGCCCAUUGUAGGAUAAAUAGCAAGGUCCUUUGUUUUCUUACGAAGUUUCUUCAUAACUAAUUUUACUCUGAGGCAUUUUCUUGCUGAGUUAAGGUUUUUUUAAAAACGAAGACCAUCUAUAUGAAUUAAAGCUGGACAUGCUCUUGCUGAGUUACUUCUUGGGCCAGUUUGAUUUUUUCAUUACAUUUUGUCAGAUUCCUUUUAUCGCAUCUUUCGUUUGUAUUUGUCCAAACUAUCAGAGAACUUGGAGUUGAGACUAAGAAUCUAUUUUUAUCCUCUUUUGUCAUAUAUAUCUUGCAGAAUGUUCAGCAGGUUAUGUGCUAUUUUUUCCUCUGGUAAACAGAACUUCCUCUACGUAGGAAGUAUAUAAUGAGUUUGAUUGUGUGUUGAUAUUGAGUGCUCGCAAGAAAUUGAAAUAGGCUACAGAUUACUUUGGUAAUCUAUGUUCAGUAGCAUUUUCCAAAUAUAUGUUUCAGUUAUCCUGCAAAAAAGACUUCAGUUGAGUUGAAUCCAGUUACAGGACUGAACAAUUAGGGAUUUGUACAUACAUAUUUCGUUGUGAUCUGUGGCACAAUUUUUGUUCAUGUGCCUUACUAGCUAUAGUCUGUAGUAUGACACUUAUCAUUGGUAUUGGUUCUACGCUACAGCUUAUUUUAUGACUUUUGCAUAGUUGUCAACAUGUUUAUACUAAAUCUUUUAGCUAGCUCCUAAUAUUUCACUAUUCUAUUCUUUUGUAGUACACUUGUGCAGUACAUGGUAAGAAGCUUUUGGAAUAGGGUGUUCACUAGGGAGUUGGCAAUGGCAAGUCUGCAAAUAUGUCCUGACAAGUUGGUUGUGGAUGAACUUCUUGGGCCGGUGUCUCCAAUUCUUUCAACUCCUUAGGCAGACGGUAGACGUUCUUAUUAUUCCAGAAUCGGGCAAAUGGGAUUCAGACACAUUCUUGGCUCCUGGCAUGGCUCAUGCAGAUACCUCUUUGUUAAGCUGACUGAUGAUUUUACUACAUGGCAACGUACUAAACGUGGCGUUUAUUCAGUCAAGUCAGCCUAAAGCUGACACGAGCUAAUUGCCUAAAUUUUGGUAUCUGAACUUCCUAUAAACAGUGUGAAAAUAGAGAUGACCAUGCUUUGUAAUCUCAAGUAUCAUGUCUACUAUGACAUAGUUGGCAGACUUUAUCUUCAGAUCAUUUGCUAUGCUAUCUACUGUACUUUGAGAGAGAAUGGUUUCACAAGAUUUUAGUCUGUAGUAUAUUCAACCUGUAAGACAAGCUCCCUAACCUUUUUGAUGAACAAGGAGGCAUCAUGCACUAACUGACACUUUUUUGUAGGUCUGCACAUUUUCCAGAAACAGCUGUUGUAGGCCAAGAACUGCCUGGAGUUGUCCACCUGUUGCGGUGGCUCCUGUUUGGCUUACUCAAUUUUGAUGGAAGGAAGGCUAUGUAACUCCAGUACUGGCUGACACCACAUGAAGGGUGGUAGGUGAGCAAGGAUGUUGUAAACUGCGCGCACUUUCCAGGCGAGAACAGUAGUGUCCCAGAUGUAGCAGUUCGUUUUGUAGCAACUUUGUUUCUCUAUUUUGCAUUAGUUGCCCGGUGAAGUGAACAAGGUGUGCGUGCUUCUGGCUGAGUACAUACCUUAUAGAGUACUAUGUAUCUAAAGUUUGUUGUUACCCGUGAACAUUUCUGUUAAUCAAAUCCACAAUGUGUCAUUGAUUCAAAAGACUGAGUUCAGUUAAAAAUCAGCCUUGGGACAUGCUAAGACAAGAUUAUCUAGAGAGUACUUUUGAUAUUCCUUGCUUUUGUUAGUCCUGAAAAAACAGUGUUAGAUAUUGCAAUAAUAUUUUACAUUUUCCUGAUUA
Non-coding RNA from Lolium perenne, 4887 nucleotides. NCBI's taxonomy places the organism in Eukaryota, Viridiplantae, Streptophyta, Magnoliopsida, Poales, Poaceae. The record is from RefSeq and is a predicted model, not a curated record.